Loxodonta africana (African savanna elephant) is the source of this 1239-nucleotide RNA transcript. It is a transcript of the gene named membrane-spanning 4-domains subfamily A member 4A-like, with no coding region annotated. Lineage: Eukaryota; Metazoa; Chordata; Mammalia; Proboscidea; Elephantidae. The transcript has 8 exons. The record is from RefSeq and is a predicted model, not a curated record.
UUCACAAUAGACAGAACUGCCCCAUAGGGUUUCCAAGGAGUGGCUGGUGGAUUUGAACUGUUGACCUUUUUAAUUAAAGGCUGAGUCCUUAAACACUAUGCAACCCAGUACUCCACAACCAUAUGACGGACACAAAAUUAGUUAGCACUUCCAACAUAAAAAAGGAAGUAGUUGUGCUUCUCAGAAAUUCUCAGCCUUUGAGAUUUAGAAAAGCUGAUAGAAGAAAAGUGCAGAUCUAAAGCUGAAGAGGCGUGGAGUUGGGGAGGGUGGUGGUAUCUGGGCAGGAGAACCGGGAAGCACUUGCUCAGAGCCUCUUCCAGCACUUGUCAGACACACAGCCAACACCAUAGGCUUGAGGAAAUGUAGGUCCAGGGGCUUACCCUCCUAGACUUUUGGUCUUACGGUUUUCUCAUUGGUUGGUCCUAGGAUUCUUGAAGUGGAAUGAGAGAGGAUGAGGCUACUUUUUGACUUCAGUUUGGGAUGAUUCCAGUGCCCCUUUACAGCACAUUUUUGCUGUCAUGACGACCCCACUGAGAUCGCAACAGACCACACCAGGGGAUGACUCUGAUGUAUCCCAGGCAGGACAGGCAGAGAAAUUCUUGAGGGGGGUACUCAAGGACCUUGGGGUUAUCCAGAUCCUGAUUGCUUUGAUAAAAUUCAGCUUGGGAAUAAUAUUGCUGUAUGUCUUGUUGCCAUUUUAUGGACCAGAACCCAUUUCAGUAUACAUAGGUUUCCAAAUGUGCGGGUCAGUAAUGUUUAUUGUUUCAGGGGCCUUGUCAAUUGCAGCAGGAACUAGAACUACAAAACAUCUGGAUCAAGGUAGCCUAGGACUGAAUAUCAUCAGCUCAGUCAUGGCCACCACAGGGGUCAUACUCAGCUUGAAUAUUAUUUCAUUCGACCACCCUCCUUGUGACUAUAGUCAGGCUCCAGAAAUUUGCGCCAUGAACAGGUCCAUGUUAACGCAUUGUGCUCCUGGAAAAUUCCCAAACUUCAUUCUAUAUUUUACAACUUUUCCGUUCCACUUGUUCCCAUGCGGAUACUAUUCUAAAACUUUAUUCUCCACAUUACCACUGUUAUGGAUUGAAUUUUCUCCCCCCAGAUGUUGAAGUCCUAACUCCUGUUCCUGGUAUGAACGGUCUAGUGUUCAUUUUAAGUGUGCUGGAGUUCUGCAUUGCUGUGUCCCUCUCUACCUCUGGAUGCAUACUAAAGUUUGGUAACUCUGGUGGGAGCGUGACCAUC